RNAcentral lists this ribosomal RNA (426 nucleotides) under uncultured bacterium. Its description in RNAcentral is "partial 16S ribosomal RNA". It matches the Rfam family "Bacterial small subunit ribosomal RNA", at positions 354 to 796 of the family's 1533-position model. The record is from RNAcentral.
GUGAGGAAUUUUCCGCAAUGGGCGAAAGCCUGACGGAGCAAUGCCGCGUGAAGGAUGAAGGCCUAUGGGUUGUAAACUUCUUUUCUCAGAAAAGAAUUAUGACGGUAUCUGAGGAAUAAGCAUCGGCUAACUCUGUGCCAGCAGCCGCGGUAAGACAGAGGAUGCAAGCGUUAUCCGGAAUGAUUGGGCGUAAAGCGUCUGUAGGUUGUUUAAAAAGUAUUCUGUCAAAGAUUAGGGCUUAACCCUAGAUAGGCAGAAUAAACUUUUAAGCUAGAGUUUGGUAGAGGCAGAGGGAAUGCCCGGUGGAGCGGUGAAAUGCGUAGAUAUCGGGAGGAACACCAAAGGCGAAGGCACUCUGCUGGGCCAAUACUAACACUGAGAGACGAAAGCGUGGGGAGCAAACAGGAUUAGAAACCCCUGUAGUCC